This 512-nucleotide ribosomal RNA is filed under the name Lepidoglyphus destructor. RNAcentral's name for it is "SSU rRNA". It matches the Rfam family "Eukaryotic small subunit ribosomal RNA", at positions 1060 to 1583 of the family's 1831-position model. Lineage: Eukaryota; Metazoa; Arthropoda; Arachnida; Sarcoptiformes; Glycyphagidae. The record is from RNAcentral.
GAGUUUAUUUGAUGACUCGGCUGGCGGCUUCCGGGAAACCAAAGUUUUUCGGUUCCAGGGGAAGUAUGGUUGCAAAGCUGAAACUUAAAGGAAUUGACGGAAGGGCACCACCAGGAGUGGAGCCUGCGGCUUAAUUUGACUCAACACGGGGAAACUCACCCGGCCCGGACACUGGAAGGAUUGACAGAUUGAGAGCUCUUUCUUGAUUCAGUGGGUGGUGGUGCAUGGCCGUUCUUAGUUGGUGGAGUGAUUUGUCUGGUUAAUUCCGAUAACGAACGAGACUCUAGCCUAUUAAAUAGACGAUGGCAUUCGUUUGACUGUCAUUGAAUGUUGCUUCUUAGAGGGACAGGCGGCGUCGCAGCCGCAUGAGAAAGAGCAAUAACAGGUCUGUGAUGCCCCUAGAUGUCCGGGGCCGCACGCGCGCUACACUGAAAAGAUCAACGCGCAUGUGCUUCCCUAUUCCGAAANGAAUGGGAAACCGAGUGAACCAUUUUCGUGCUUGGGANUGGGGA